Molecule: regulatory RNA element, 44 nt
Rfam family: COG3860 RNA
Source: Rfam
GGGUCGGCAGUUCACCCAGUCUCCGCCAGUCGCUAAACCUGCAU